This 341-nucleotide ribosomal RNA is filed under the name Drosophila azteca. Its description in RNAcentral is "28S ribosomal RNA, D2 domain". The record is from RNAcentral. Lineage: Eukaryota; Metazoa; Arthropoda; Insecta; Diptera; Drosophilidae.
CCCGAAGUAUCCUGAAUCUUUCGCAUUGUUAAUCAUACAAAUGCAUAUAAUAAACAUAAAAAUCAAUGAUAAUUAUGCCAUUAUAUAAUUUCGAAAAAUUAACGCACUGUAUUAAUUUUAAUUUAUCAACACUUUAUCAAAUUAAUGACAUUUAUUCUAUGUUAAAAUGCAAGCAUAAUAAUUUGAAUAAACUAUAAGCCAUAUUUUAUGAUAAAUUUGGUAUAUGCUAAUAGAUUACAAUGUCCUUAUAUGGAAAAAAUGCACACUAUUAUUAUAAUAUUGUUAAAAUAUUACAACUUUAAUGAUGAAUUUUCCAUAACGGAUAUUCAGGUUCAUCGGGC